Phoenix dactylifera (date palm) is the source of this 1766-nucleotide non-coding RNA. The record is from RefSeq and is a predicted model, not a curated record. Lineage: Eukaryota; Viridiplantae; Streptophyta; Magnoliopsida; Arecales; Arecaceae.
UUCUCCCGACUUCUUCUCUUUCCCUCUUUCUACCCCUCGUCUUCUCCUAGGAAGGGAGGAGGGCGAGCUCGAGAGGGGGCCGGCCCGAGGCCAGCGGCGCCGCGGUCAAGGAUCCACCGGGAUCCUGUUACACUGAAGGAAAAAGGGGGCCUGAGGCCGACGACUCAUCCCAUGGAUCGGGAGGUAGGGUUCUAGGGUUAGGGUUUGAUUGAAAGGGGGAAGAAGUGAUCGGGUGAAAGAACAGGAUCUACGGCAUGGGCCGGCUGUGGUCAGUGACGGAUCAAGCCGGUGUCGGAUCAACGGCCGACCCCAAGCAUGAAUAAUGAAGAGAGAAAGGGAUCAAGGGCUUACGUAGCCCCGAGGAAGAGAUGGAGAGCUUCCUCCGGCAGCCUGGCCCGCUUCCUCCGGCGGCUUGACAGUGGAUCUGAGGAGCUCCGCAAGAGGCAGUGAGGAGGGAAAGAUGCCUCGGUGAAGAACUCCUUCGGCUUUUAUAGCCUGCUUUGGGGAGAGUGGGAGGGAGAUUGGAUGUAUCCACGGCUGUUAGCGGUUAUAACCGGCUCAACAGCUGGCGAUCGCAGUCUCCUCCUCCUAUCCGAAGAUUCCCGGUUUGGAUCUCCAGAUGGGCCGCCGACUAUGGUCCACGUCGGCCCAUUGGGGCCCAAUAGUUACAAAUUAACUCAAAUUAAUAAAAAGGGAGUGAAGAGGAGAUACAUGUCUUGCUUGAUGUUUGCAUUAGGAACUCAGGCUUUAUUUAUUCCCAAAUAGUAGCACGCCACAAAUUUGCAAUUCACCUUAUGUGUAUGUAAAUAAGUGCAAAAAUAAGCCUCAAUUCAACUCCCAAAAAAUGUAAAACCUAAUUGACGGUGAUAUGGAUCGUCAGUUGACUGAUAGAGAUAUACAACUGAAAGAAGACAUGGAAAUGUAAAUUGCACCUCUGGGGCCUGCAGAACAAGUUUGAGCCAGUCAAAAUCCCUUUCUGUUGGCGGAAGAUUUGAUGUUAAAACGCCUACAGGAGGGAGUGGUCAUCUUAGUAGGAAUACUACCAUCACUGUCUUUCCGUUCUCGACUUUGAUUCCCUCUUGCUUUCACCUCUACAAAUGAUCAACGCGGCUUACCUCAUCAUAUAACCUGAAGUAUAUGUCCCUUCAGGUCACAGCAUGGGUCCAUUUGAAUGAACUGGUUCAUGUUAAGGGAGAAAAUUGUAUGAGUCGUCUAAUACUGUUGCAGAAAAGAGUUACGCCAUGUUAUUAGGCGGACAUGGAGAUGGCUCGAUUAAAGAAGAGUUGGGAGCUGUCUCUGCACGAGGGAAGUAUGGUUUUGGAUUCUCAUCGCAUCAUAUCUAUGAGGUGGUCCUGUAAGGAUCCAUGGAAUCCUGCCGAUCAACCAAGCAGGCGUGCUCUUAUCGUUUCAUGAUGAACAGAUUUACACUCUUUCUGGAGGGGGGUUUUCAGUUGUGGCUGGAUCCGACGCAAGCAUUGCUUGAAUGCAAGGUUUCAUGGCAGAUUGAUGUGAUAUUGGGCUGAUUGGGCCAACGUUCAGGCUUAUGUAAUGGUUAGCCUACUGGUCAGCUGUUGUGCCUCCUCUAUACCGUUGCAAAACAUCAACGGGCAAAUUGAUUUUAGUGGAGACAUUUUUAACUUGUAAUACCUACAAAUUGGUCUGUUAUGAGGAGUAAUUAUUCAUUUAUAAUGCUUAGAAAUCUGUCUCAAUCUACAUGUCUGAAUUUGAUCACUCAAUCAACGUGAAAAUUUAUCUUAGAUUUUUAA